RNAcentral lists this ribosomal RNA (497 nucleotides) under Bacillus sp. (in: firmicutes). Its description in RNAcentral is "bacterial SSU rRNA". It matches the Rfam family "Bacterial small subunit ribosomal RNA", at positions 382 to 870 of the family's 1533-position model. The record is from RNAcentral. Lineage: Bacteria; Bacillati; Bacillota; Bacilli; Caryophanales; Bacillaceae.
UCUGACGGAGCAACGCCGCGUGAGUGAUGAAGGUUUUCGGAUCGUAAAGCUCUGUUGUUAGGGAAGAACAAGUGCGAGAGUAACUGCUCGCACCUUGACGGUACCUAACCAGAAAGCCACGGCUAACUACGUGCCAGCAGCCGCGGUAAUACGUAGGUGGCAAGCGUUGUCCGGAAUUAUUGGGCGUAAAGGGCUCGCAGGCGGUUUCUUAAGUCUGAUGUGAAAGCCCCCGGCUCAACCGGGGAGGGUCAUUGGAAACUGGGAAACUUGAGUGCAGAAGAGGAGAGUGGAAUUCCACGUGUAGCGGUGAAAUGCGUAGAGAUGUGGAGGAACACCAGUGGCGAAGGCGACUCUCUGGUCUGUAACUGACGCUGAGGAGCGAAAGCGUGGGGAGCGAACAGGAUUAGAUACCCUGGUAGUCCACGCCGUAAACGAUGAGUGCUAAGUGUUAGGGGGUUUCCGCCCCUUAGUGCUGCAGCUAACGCAUUAAGCACUCC